This 253-nucleotide ribosomal RNA is filed under the name uncultured bacterium. Its description in RNAcentral is "partial 16S ribosomal RNA". It matches the Rfam family "Bacterial small subunit ribosomal RNA", at positions 524 to 776 of the family's 1533-position model. The record is from RNAcentral.
GACAGAGGGUGCAAACGUUGUUCGGAAUUACUGGGCGUAAAGCGCGUGUAGGCGGUUCGUAAAGUCGGAUGUGAAAGCCCUGGGCUUAACCCAGGAAGUGCAUUCGAAACUCACGAACUUGAGUCCCGGAGAGGAAGGCGGAAUUCUCGGUGUAGAGGUGAAAUUCGUAGAUAUCAGGAGGAACACCGGUGGCGAAGGCGGAUCUCUGGGCCUUACCUGACGCUGAGACACGAAAGCGUGGGUAGCAAACAGG